This 68-nucleotide transfer RNA is filed under the name Marmota monax (woodchuck). Its description in RNAcentral is "tRNA.Ala". The record is from RNAcentral. Lineage: Eukaryota; Metazoa; Chordata; Mammalia; Rodentia; Sciuridae.
GGAUGUGGCUCAAGUGGUAGCGAGCUUGCCUAGCAUGCAUGAGGCACUGGGUUCGAUUCUCAGCACCA